Molecule: small nuclear RNA, 116 nt
Filed under: Solanum lycopersicum (tomato)
Lineage: Eukaryota; Viridiplantae; Streptophyta; Magnoliopsida; Solanales; Solanaceae
Also listed under: 1 other name
Description: U5 spliceosomal RNA
Rfam family: U5 spliceosomal RNA
About the family: U5 RNA is a component of both types of known spliceosome. The precise function of this molecule is unknown, though it is known that the 5' loop is required for splice site selection and p220 binding, and that both the 3' stem-loop and the Sm site are important for Sm protein binding and cap methylation.
Source: Rfam by way of RNAcentral
AGCUACGCAGUGAGCACAAAGCGAACUAUUCUUUCGCCUUUUACUAAAGAAUACCGUGUGCGCUCUGCUAUUAGUGGCAUACGCCAAUUUUUGGAGGGUUUUCAACUUUGAGACCC